Molecule: ribosomal RNA, 489 nt
Filed under: uncultured bacterium
Lineage: Bacteria
Description: partial 16S ribosomal RNA
Rfam family: Bacterial small subunit ribosomal RNA
Source: RNAcentral
AUUGAACGCUGGCGGCAGGCCUAACACAUGCAAGUCGAACGGUAACAGGAAGCAGCUUGCUGCUUUGCUGACGAGUGGCGGACGGGUGAGUAAUGUCUGGGAAACUGCCUGAUGGAGGGGGAUAACUACUGGAAACGGUAGCUAAUACCGCAUAACGUCGCAAGACCAAAGAGGGGGACCUUAGGGCCUCUUGCCAUCGGAUGUGCCCAGAUGGGAUUAGCUAGUAGGUGGGGUAACGGCUCACCUAGGCGACGAUCCCUAGCUGGUCUGAGAGGAUGACCAUCCACACUGGAACUGAGACACGGUCCAGACUCCUACGGGAGGCAGCAGUGGGGAAUAUUGCACAAUGGGCGCAAGCCUGAUGCAGCCAUGCCGCGUGUAUGAAGAAGGCCUUCGGGUUGUAAAGUACUUUCAGCGGGGAGGAAGGGAGUAAAGUUAAUACCUUUGCUCAUGGACGUUACCCGCAGAAGAAACACCGGCUAACUCCGU